UUUAAAAUGUAUCAGGGUCAGCUAACAACUUGAUGGGAACCAAAGAAAUCCUUCUCUGCCAAAAAAUAGAAUCCUGAACACAGUUGUCUUAGGCUGUGCUCCUUGGAGUAGAAACUCUCCCAUUUACAUCCCUUUUACAGAUUGUAGCUCCCACUCCAUCCCUGCCUAGUCCCCUGUGCUUCUCUCUUCUGCUCCUGCCCCCCAAAGUCCCUUCACAGAAGCCUGAGGCAGAUGGAACUUUGAGAUCUGGCCAGUAAUGCCCAGAGUCGUGCAUCUUCUAAGGUCCCAGGGUUCACCAAGCAUGUGCUUUCUAUCGUAAUAUGUCUUGGCAAGGGGUUGGACCCCUGAGAAAGAGGUCCUGACAACCUUGCAAUAGAACUGACAGCAGAGCUGGGGCUAAGUGGUGGAUGAUGGAGAUUCCCAGACACGCAGAGCCCAGGGUUGAAGGGAAACCUCUCCACGGUGACAGCUGAUACCACUGUGGGUGAGCACUUCCAUCCCUAGAGCUUCAUGGUUCUCAAGGGCAGCAAGAAUGCCCGCUCUGAGGUUGUCACUUACAAGUGUGGCACUGCAUGCAAAUGUGAGGAAGGCAUGUGGGAUGAUGAUGCACAACAGUGUAGUCCUCAUCCAGGGGGGCAUCCCACCCUCUACUCUCUGUUUGGAGAUGGGAAAAUUCAUAAUCUGGUGGAUGCAAUUGAGAACCACUUAAUUGUAAGAAACCCCUGCAGAAUGUAUGUGCACGGUGGUGUGUGAAAAAGCAGCUUGUUCUUGGAAAAUGCUGGACCCCUCCACCUUUUUUUUUUUUUAAAGACUUGACGUUUUUCUCCUUA
RNAcentral lists this long non-coding RNA (830 nucleotides) under Marmota monax (woodchuck). Lineage: Eukaryota; Metazoa; Chordata; Mammalia; Rodentia; Sciuridae. The record is from RNAcentral.